Molecule: non-coding RNA, 30 nt
Filed under: Homo sapiens (human)
Lineage: Eukaryota; Metazoa; Chordata; Mammalia; Primates; Hominidae
Source: RNAcentral
UGCUAAGUGCUGUGAUCAAAGCAAGGAUUC